CCUACGGGUGGCAGCAGUAGGGAAUCUUCCACAAUGGGCGAAAGCCUGAUGGAGCAACGCCGCGUGGGUGAAGAAGGUCUUCGGAUCGUAAAACCCUGUUUUUAGAGAAGAAAGUGCGUGCAAGUAACUGUUCACGUUUCGACGGUAUCUAACCAGACAGCCACGGCUAACUACGUGCGAGCAGCCGCGGUAAUACGUAGGUGGCAAGCGUUAUCCGGAUUGAUUGGGCGUAAAGGGAACGCAGGCGGUCUUUUAAGUCUGAUGUGAAAGCCCUCGGCUUAACCGGGGUAGUGCAUUGGAAACUGGGAGACUUGAGUGCAGAAGAGGAGAGUGGAAUUCCAUGUGUAGCGGUGAAAUGCGUAGAUAUAUGGAAGAACACCAGUGGCGAAGGCGGCUCUCUGGGCUGUAACUGACGCUGAGGUUCGAAAGCGUGGGUAGCAAACAGGAUUAGAUACCCGAGUAGUC
RNAcentral lists this ribosomal RNA (465 nucleotides) under uncultured bacterium. Its description in RNAcentral is "partial 16S ribosomal RNA". It matches the Rfam family "Bacterial small subunit ribosomal RNA", at positions 338 to 795 of the family's 1533-position model. The record is from RNAcentral.